CCCGGUGAUCUAGCCAUGGGCAGGUUGAAGGUUGGGUAACACUAACUGGAGGACCGAACCGACUAAUGUUGAAAAAUUAGCGGAUGACUUGUGGCUGGGGGUGAAAGGCCAAUCAAACCGGGAGAUAGCUGGUUCUCCCCGAAAGCUAUUUAGGUAGCGCCUCGUGAACUCAUCUCCGGGGGUAGAGCACUGUUUCGGCAAGGGGGUCAUCCCGACUUACCAACCCGAUGCAAACUGCGAAUACCGGAGAAUGUUAUCACGGGAGACACACGGCGGGUGCUAACGUCCGUCGUGAAGAGGGAAACAACCCAGACCGCCAGCUAAGGUCCCAAAGUCAUGGUUAAGUGGGAAACGAUGUGGGAAGGCCCAGACAGCCAGGAUGUUGGCUUAGAAGCAGCCAUCAUUUAAAGAAAGCGUAAUAGCUCACUGGUCGAGUCGGCCUGCGCGGAAGAUGUAACGGGGCUAAACCAUGCACCGAAGCUGCGGCAGCGACGCUGAUGCGUUGUUGGGUAGGGGAGCGUUCUGUAAGCCUGCGAAGGUGUGCUGUGAGGCAUGCUGGAGGUAUCAGAAGUGCGAAUGCUGACAUAAGUAACGAUAAAGCGGGUGAAAAGCCCGCUCGCCGGAAGACCAAGGGUUCCUGUCCAACGUUAAUCGGGGCAGGGUGAGUCGACCCCUAAGGCGAGGCCGAAAGGCGUAGUCGAUGGGAAACAGGUUAAUAUUCCUGUACUUGGUGUUACUGCGAAGGGGGGACGGAGAAGGCUAUGUUGGCCGGGCGACGGUUGUCCCGGUUUAAGCGUGUAGGCUGGUUUUCCAGGCAAAUCCGGAAAAUCAAGGCUGAGGCGUGAUGACGAGGCACUACGGUGCUGAAGCAACAAAUGCCCUGCUUCCAGGAAAAGCCUCUAAGCAUCAGGUAACAUCAAAUCGUACCCCAAACCGACACAGGUGGUCAGGUAGAGAAUACCAAGGCGCUUGAGAGAACUCGGGUGAAGGAACUAGGCAAAAUGGUGCCGUAACUUCGGGAGAAGGCACGCUGAUAUGUAGGUGAAGUCCCUUGCGGAUGGAGCUGAAAUCAGUCGAAGAUACCAGCUGGCUGCAACUGUUUAUUAAAAACACAGCACUGUGCAAACACGAAAGUGGACGUAUACGGUGUGACGCCUGCCCGGUGCCGGAAGGUUAAUUGAUGGGGUCAGCGCAAGCGAAGCUCUUGAUCGAAGCCCCGGUAAACGGCGGCCGUAACUAUAACGGUCCUAAGGUAGCGAAAUUCCUUGUCGGGUAAGUUCCGACCUGCACGAAUGGCGUAAUGAUGGCCAGGCUGUCUCCACCCGAGACUCAGUGAAAUUGAACUCGCUGUGAAGAUGCAGUGUACCCGCGGCAAGACGGAAAGACCCCGUGAACCUUUACUAUAGCUUGACACUGAACAUUGAGCCUUGAUGUGUAGGAUAGGUGGGAGGCUUGGAAGUGUGGACGCCAGUCUGCAUGGAGCCGACCUUGAAAUACCACCCUUUAAUGUUUGAUGUUCUAACGUUGACCCGUAAUCCGGGUUGCGGACAGUGUCUGGUGGGUAGUUUGACUGGGGCGGUCUCCUCCUAAAGAGUAACGGAGGAGCACGAAGGUUGGCUAAUCCUGGUCGGACAUCAGGAGGUUAGUGCAAUGGCAUAAGCCAGCUUGACUGCGAGCGUGACGGCGCGAGCAGGUGCGAAAGCAGGUCAUAGUGAUCCGGUGGUUCUGAAUGGAAGGGCCAUCGCUCAACGGAUAAAAGGUACUCCGGGGAUAACAGGCUGAUACCGCCCAAGAGUUCAUAUCGACGGCGGUGUUUGGCACCUCGAUGUCGGCUCAUCACAUCCUGGGGCUGAAGUAGGUCCCAAGGGUAUGGCUGUUCGCCAUUUAAAGUGGUACGCGAGCUGGGUUUAGAACGUCGUGAGACAGUUCGGUCCCUAUCUGCCGUGGGCGCUGGAGAACUGAGGGGGGCUGCUCCUAGUACGAGAGGACCGGAGUGGACGCAUCACUGGUGUUCGGGUUGUCAUGCCAAUGGCACUGCCCGGUAGCUAAAUGCGGAAGAGAUAAGUGCUGAAAGCAUCUAAGCACGAAACUUGCCCCGAGAUGAGUUCUCCCUGACCCUUUAAGGGUCCUGAAGGAACGUUGAAGACGACGACGUUGAUAGGCCGGGUGUGUAAGCGCAGCGAUGCGUUGAGCUAACCGGUACUAAUGAACCGUGAGGCUUAACCUU
Molecule: ribosomal RNA, 2227 nt
Filed under: Escherichia coli
Lineage: Bacteria; Pseudomonadati; Pseudomonadota; Gammaproteobacteria; Enterobacterales; Enterobacteriaceae
Description: partial 23S ribosomal RNA
Rfam family: Bacterial large subunit ribosomal RNA
Source: RNAcentral